UGUGGAGUCACUGCAUUAAGCAUCCAGUAGAUUUGGUGCGAUUGCUAAAACCCUUUUAGCUAGGGGUUGAAUGAAUACCUGUUACAGAGCUAGAAUAUACGAUCUUUGUUUGUGGAAAUCCUAUCCGAUUUUUAGUAUUGCUAAGUUAUGCACAAACCAUUAGUCUAACCGUUUCAAUUGCAGCGAAAUAUCCCGAAAUGUCACCAACUUUUCGAUAAAUAUAAUUUUAAAAUCGAUCUUUUGGCUAUGACCUCACUACCUAUACAGUUAGCUGACUCCGCAUAUUGCUUAUGUGGUAUUUGCUUAUGAAAAAACUCUUAAUAAUUUCAUGAAAAAGUUAAAAUUAAUUACAAAAUAAAAACGAAAACGACUGUCAGAGUGGACAUAGCUCGAGAAAUGAGUUUUGGAUACAAUAGUACAAUCCAAAGUGACUAAGAAUCUGUUAAUAUUACAGAAAUUUAUGUACAUGAAAUUUCCAGGUCCAAUACAGUUAAUUACUACUGAAGCAUAAGACCAGAAAAAUACUGCUCGAACUCUUGAUCUAUCGUCGGCGCCCUUGUUCCUGAUUGAGCAUCUGCAUUCAAACACAAACAACAUUCAGCAAAACAGAUGGAAAGACUCUAACAAAAGAUGCUUCCAAAAUUCCUCAAGAGUUUACACCUUGCUUAACUGUCCAUCCUCCAGAUGAAGACAGGAGAUAGACGCGAGGGUUCACAGAAUUGGCACAGAGAUCACUAUUAAGGUCUUCAUCCUCACCACCGCCGCUACCAUUGU
Molecule: long non-coding RNA, 774 nt
Filed under: Linum usitatissimum (flax)
Lineage: Eukaryota; Viridiplantae; Streptophyta; Magnoliopsida; Malpighiales; Linaceae
Description: long non-coding RNA (LUSI_LNC002745)
Source: RNAcentral